This 1092-nucleotide long non-coding RNA is filed under the name Mytilus galloprovincialis (Mediterranean mussel). Lineage: Eukaryota; Metazoa; Mollusca; Bivalvia; Mytilida; Mytilidae. The record is from RNAcentral.
UGUCGCAUGACUACCUAAUUAAAUGUGUUUUAGUACAAUUCACUUAACAAAUUUAAAUUCCAUAACUGCUUCAUAAAUAAUAUAUAUACUUCUACUUACAAAUCACAUUGCCAUCAAAUCUAAAAGUUUCCUUUUUAUCGUGUAAAUAAAAACAGGUACGUGACAAAGGUUACUGAUGUCCAAUUAUUUUGUCUGUUCCACGGUUAUGAACAAGUUAGUGGCCAUUAGAAAUGAUACUGAACACAAAGAAAUAAUGACAACAAUGAAAUAAAAAUUGGGUCCAACAUUUAGACUUCUAUAUCAAAAUCUAGUUAUUUUCAUCCACACUUUUAACAAUCAAUUCAAAGAAAAGGUAAUGCGCAUGUACCAAAUCUUAAAAAGAUCAAAAUCGAUCACGUGAAAAAGAAAAUACCUGUAUUGAAAUCUUAAUAAAUGAGGAUGACAUUUUGUAUGAAAUUUUUUGUGUAUCGCCAUUCAACAACGAACUCCUCCCUGACACACAUUCUUUGUAUCACAGACACACUAAACCGCCAUUAAAUAACUUAAGAUAUCUAUUUUCUAUUUGUAAAAUACAUGGUGGAAAAUUCUUUGUUAAAAAGAUAUAGUGUGACCAAAGUGAAACUACUGACCAUGGCUAUUUUUGUUCACUUCAGUAUGGUCAGUCUAUAAAUAAAGGUAUUAAAUAGAAUGACCUGAAAUGCCCUUUUUAUCUGCUGGUCAAAACAUUACACAGUCAGUAGUCGUCUGCUCGUAAAUCUAGGUCAAGUUGAUCUAUCAAUAACAACUAUAGGCUUACCUAUCCAUGACUGUAUAAAAAGGUCCACAAAAAUGUACAGUAAUUAUCACACACUAUCAAGUCACAGUUUUUCAUAAAAUUCAAACAGCAACCAGCUACUUUAAAAGCAAGACAGCUACAAGUGAAAGCAUGGCAAAGCAAACACACAAUCUCCAGACAACACGUCAACCAGCUAAAAAUAGAAUUUACAUUCUGAUUGGACAUUCACUACAUAUGAGGUAUAAAAAAACUUAUUUUUGAAAUCAAUACAUGUGCAUCAAGCAUAGAAUAUAUGCAGUACUGAUUUUGAAGUGUGC